This 440-nucleotide ribosomal RNA is filed under the name uncultured bacterium. Its description in RNAcentral is "partial 16S ribosomal RNA". It matches the Rfam family "Bacterial small subunit ribosomal RNA", at positions 338 to 795 of the family's 1533-position model. The record is from RNAcentral.
CCUACGGGCGGCAGCAGUGGGGAAUAUUGCACAAUGGGGGAAACCCUGAUGCAGCGACGCCGCGUGAGUGAAGAAGUAAUUCGUUAUGUAAAGCUCUAUCAGCAGGGAAGAAAAUGACGGUACCUGAGUAAGAAGCCCCGGCUAACUACGUGCCAGCAGCCGCGGUAAUACGUAGGGGGCAAGCGUUCUCCGGAUUUACUGGGGGGAAAGGGAGCGGAGACGGCAGUGCAAGGCUGGAGUGAAAGGCGGGGGCUCAACCCCCGGACUGCUCUGGAAACUGUACGGCUGGAGUGCAGGAGAGGUAAGUGGAAUUCCUAGUGUAGCGGUGAAAUGCGUAGAUAUUAGGAGGAACACCAGUGGCGAAGGCGGCUUACUGGACUGUAACUGACGUUGAGGCUCGAAAGCGUGGGGAGCAAACAGGAUUAGAUACCCCUGUAGUC